UGAACGCUAGCGGCAGGCUUAACACAUGCAAGUCGAACGGUAACAGAAAAAGCUUGCUUUUUGCUGACGAGUGGCGAACGGGUGCGUAACGCGUAUGCAACCUACCUUUAACAGAGGGAUAGCCCAGAGAAAUUUGGAUUAACACCUCAUAACAUCACGAAUUCGCAUGUUUUUGUGAUUAAAACUCCGGUGGUUAAAGAUGGGCAUGCGUGACAUUAGCUAGAUGGUAAGGUAACGGCUUACCAUGGCAACGAUGUUAGGGGGUCUUAAAGGAUGAUCCCCCACACUGGUACUGAACACGGACCAGACUCCUACGGGAGGUAGCAGUGAGGAAGAUUGGUCAAUGGACGCAAGUCUGAACCAGCCAUGCCGCGUGAAGGAUGACGGCCCUAUGGGUUGUAAACUUCUUUUAUAUGGGAAGAAACCCUCUUACGUGUAAGAGGCUGACGGUACCAUACGAAUAAGCACCGGCUAACUCC
RNAcentral lists this ribosomal RNA (479 nucleotides) under uncultured bacterium. Its description in RNAcentral is "bacterial SSU rRNA". It matches the Rfam family "Bacterial small subunit ribosomal RNA", at positions 30 to 504 of the family's 1533-position model. The record is from RNAcentral.